UAAUUGAAGAGUUUGAUCAUGGCUCAGAUUGAACGCUGGCGGCAGGCCUAACACAUGCAAGUCGAACGGUAACAGGGAGCAGCUUGCUGCUCUGCUGACGAGUGGCGGACGGGUGAGUAAUGUCUGGGAAACUGCCUGAUGGAGGGGGAUAACUACUGGAAACGGUAGCUAAUACCGCAUAACGUCUACGGACCAAAGUGGGGGACCUUCGGGCCUCAUGCCAUCAGAUGUGCCCAGAUGGGAUUAGCUAGUAGGUGGGGUAACGGCUCACCUAGGCGACGAUCCCUAGCUGGUCUGAGAGGAUGACCAG
This 310-nucleotide ribosomal RNA is filed under the name Cronobacter sakazakii. Its description in RNAcentral is "bacterial SSU rRNA". It matches the Rfam family "Bacterial small subunit ribosomal RNA", at positions 1 to 307 of the family's 1533-position model. Lineage: Bacteria; Pseudomonadati; Pseudomonadota; Gammaproteobacteria; Enterobacterales; Enterobacteriaceae. The record is from RNAcentral.